This is a long non-coding RNA of Toxorhynchites rutilus septentrionalis, 528 nucleotides long. RefSeq lists it as uncharacterized. NCBI's taxonomy places the organism in Eukaryota, Metazoa, Arthropoda, Insecta, Diptera, Culicidae. The record is from RefSeq and is a predicted model, not a curated record. The transcript has 3 exons.
CGGAUGAGUUCCGUGCGCAAGCAAACAGACCUAGAGCUGCGCGAGGCGGACAUGUUGCUUCACUGUUGAGUGAAACUUAGCCGAGUAAAGUACUGUAUUUCCGUUUCAUUUGUGUCGCCGUUUGGAACAGCUAUUAGGUGAAUAAUCGUGGAAAAAGUCUACUGGAUACAGAUAAAUCGAACAAAGCAACACGUUGCUCGAUUUCGGGUGGAUUAAAUUCAUCACAGUUGUUAAAAUUGCGAAAAGGUGAGUCAAAUUGCGUAUGGAAAUCGUCAUAUAGAGCUACUAAGAAAAAUUGUUCCAUAAUUUUAAUCAGAGCAACGGCUCCAGCCGGGUGACGUCUUCAGAGAACCCCCAUUGAACUGACAGGAGCCAACAUAUCGGGUAUCCCACUGACAUUUUCCCCUUGUUUUCAUAUGAAUUGGGUAUCCCACUGACAGUUCUGCUUGAGAUUUUGCUAACGAUCCUAGCAUCAAUCAUAGCUCCCGGCUGAACGGCUCUAAAUAACAACAACAAUCGAGCGUAGUA